GGGGAAGUGCUGGAACUGGCAGACAGGCGUGACUUAGGAUCACGUGCCGCGAGGCGUGCGGGUUCGAGUCCCGCCUUCCCCACCA
RNAcentral lists this transfer RNA (85 nucleotides) under Thermanaerothrix daxensis. Its description in RNAcentral is "tRNA-Leu". It matches the Rfam family "tRNA". From Rfam's summary of the family: Transfer RNA (tRNA) molecules are approximately 80 nucleotides in length. Their secondary structure includes four short double-helical elements and three loops (D, anti-codon, and T loops). The record is from RNAcentral. Lineage: Bacteria; Bacillati; Chloroflexota; Anaerolineae; Anaerolineales; Anaerolineaceae.